GUGUGUCCAUCCGAUGAACAAGAGAGCUGUCAACAGAAGAAGCACGACUCAUGUACCUUCAGGCUCUUCUCUUCUUGGUUCAAGAUCUUCAGAAUCUUUAUUUAUUUUUAGGUGCUCACUGUACCUUCAUGCUCUUUGACAGAACCUCUUUGCAAGGAAGUGUGUGAGUAGUGAGAAAUUUUAAAUCAGUGAGCAAAAUUUCUCAUAUGUACUCACUGUAAGUGUUCACUACAUCUUUAACUGUUCAUAGAAAGGUGGUUAGAUCUGGCAUAAAUAGUAUUCAUUGCAAGAUUACAUGAAGUACUAAUAUUCCAAUAUGCCACAUUUCUUGCUUAAUGGUGCCCACUAAUAGGAAAUAAAGAGUAAUGUAUGUAGUAUUACUUGGUAGUGGUUUACUCUGCUUUUCCAGGAAAAUAGUGUUAUUUAUUUAUGUAUGUAUGUGUGUAUGUGUGUGUGUGUGUGUGUGUGUGUGUGUGUGUGUGUAUGUAUGUAUGUAUGUAUGUACGUACGUACGUACGUACUAUUAUUAUUAUUAUUAUUACUACUACUACUACUACUACUACUACUACUACUACUACUACUACUACUACUACUACUACUACUACUUGGUAGUGGUUUACUCUGCUUUUCCAGGUUGCAAAAAGGCAAUACUUGUCUGUGCUACUUGCAGUUUACUCCGCUCAUUCUACGGGUACUAAUAGGACCCAUUAGUACAUUCAGGUGGAUGGCAAGAGGACUAGAGGAUGCCUCAGGCGAGGGUGUCCAGCAAGCACUGUUAAAGAUAUUCGAAGGAACUGUAAUUGCCCAUGCUGUUUAGAAGAGUGGGAGUUUUACAGUGUGCAGACGUGACUAAUCUGACAUAUUUUUCUGCUUCAUAGAUUCUGAACUCGCAUGUAUCAUAUUAUGUCUGUUUGUUUCUAAACAAGAACAAUUUCACAUUUGCAUUGUUAGGUGAUCAGUGUGCCAAGAAAAAGAAGUCGAGAUAUCAUAUCCCAUGGUUAAUGUCGAGGUAAUUGUUUUUAGAACUUCUGAUUAGCACUGGCUGCUGAAACCUGCUACAUAGCCGUAGAUCAGUAACCUUUCAGCAGUCUAGCACCAAAAGUUCCAAAUUAUUUCAUGGUGCUAUGACUUUCAGUCUUCAUUCUAUAUGUGUUGAGGGACACAGGCAACUGAACAUCAAAGAUUGAUGCCCUUGUUUCACAAGCAGUUGGCCCUAGGUACUAAAUAUAUAUAUACUUAAAUUUGUAAUAAACACCUUCCAUUACAAUGAUGAGUGGUGCAUACGCAAGCACUCUAUUGUUAGAUGCAUAUUAAUUUGUUUUUCCAGGUUGAUAUAAAAGUAUACUCUUAAUUUGUAGACGCGCCUUCUCUGACGUGGGGAAGAUUUAUGUCAGAAACUUGCAUAGACAGAUCAUUGAUGGGUGCAUAUUAUUAUUGUACACACAAGCAACCUUAGUGGAAUAGUUCAUUGAUGGGUGGGGAGGGCAGGUCUGCAAGGUGUUGGGAAACCCUUUUCUUGAUGUGAACAAUAUGGUAUGGUAUUGUUCUUAAUUGUCAAUCAAUCCAGGAUUCAACCUUGUUUGCAAAUUCAAGUGUUUGGUUUGAACGAUGACACAAAUCCCAUGCAAGGAACAUGUUAAUAUAGUUUUGUGCAACAUAUAUUUUUCAUCAUAGCAAUGGAAAACUGACUCGUGUGCAAGUGCCCUUCUAAUUGGUGCUCUAUGUAUGUUCUCAUUUGGUUCAGGUUGAUUUUUGUGUAUUCCAAGUUCUACAACUAUCAAGUCCGUUAGAUUUUGGGGGUCUGUAAAUUUAUUUUGUUGCCCACUUGAUGAUUAUUUGAAACCUUUUGGUUGCCUAGUGUGGAUGAGAGAAGCAUGUAUGCCUGUAAUUCAUGAUAUUUAGCUGAUUUUAAAACUCUGUACAUGUACAGUGUACACUCAUGUAAUAGUUAUUUGUCUCUCAUCAUCGACUCCUUGAAAAAUGAUCAUCCGCUUGAAGUAACUAUUGUGCCAAGUAUGGUAUGUACCAAGAUGUUUGUUUUCAUGCAAAUGCCAUAAUUGGAGCGAUGCACUUUGGUUAUACCUAUAUAAUGCCUUGAAUGCCACACAUUCAAGCUGUGCUGUUAUCAAUUGCAUGAGCCAUUGCUCACUAUUUUUCCACAUACCUAUGAGAGUUUAAUUCAGAAAGGGAAGAAGCCGGGUUACCUUCAAUUGUUGGGUACAUAGACAUUCAGUGCUAUCUGGCAUGUGAGUUUUAUUUUCCCUCUCCUCCUGUAUAAUUAAUAAUUUCUGUUCACUGUAUAUGAGACUUGUCCGCAAGUGCUAUUCAAUCCAUGGUUGCUAGCAGAUAUCGUGUGGUGAUUCAGGUUGGAUGUGUACUGAUGUUUGAAAAUAAAUCCUGAAUGUUGUAACUGGUGCUUGUAAUGGUAUUUCGUUUUCGUACUAUGCAAGCCUCAGGAUGCUAAUCAAAAUAACCUUCAUGCCAAUUGAAAUACAGGUCGAUGGAGCUAGCCAGUAACCUAAUAGGUGACUUCUUAAUGCCGGCUAUUGCUAGAUUCCUUCACUGCUGUUGGAAAAUGGAGCUUCAUAUUCUAUCUGAAAUUUUUUAGGUCUCAUGUUUAAUGUUUCUACAUAUCUGCCAUCCUUUUUUUGCAUGGCAUAUCUGCCAUCCUUGUGUACUUGCAUUUGCUUACUGGUUAAAGGCAUUAUACAUUUAUACUAUUUUAUCUAUCUUUUUUUGUAGGGAUUACAUGAUCUACAAGCCAAAGACUCUGAAAUACACAAACAUGAUGAUGAUUAUGAUAGAGGUAGUACAGUGGCAAGCACCAAUCAGUGUGCGGCAAAAACAUAAAGCCGAGAAGCAACACCUGCUGAUGUUCUUUCUUAUGGGAUCAGCAAAUAACCUGCAAUGAAGGAUUCUAAGGAUAAUUUGCUUGCUAUGGUUGCCACUAAAAAUCCUCAUUGUAAUUAUCUUUCGGCUUAUAAUUAUGUCUGUCAUUUCUAAAGUCAUGUUGUGACUGCAAUGAAGGUCUCCUAUAAAUGUCAGUUGUCAUUUCUAAUUCAUGUUAUGCCUAUUCAUGCCUUGUUAAGCCAAGAUCAAGUACCGUCGGUCAUUUCUAAAGAUCAGGAGCCAACUAGCCACCCUAAUCUAAGCAUUGGAUAUUGGUAAGUUUGAAGAAGCCCAACAUGCAUAGCCAAGCUUAAAUUAAGAACCCAACUAGCCGCCUUGAUGUGUGUAGACAAGAUUAGUGCGCACAAUCUCGUCUCAAGAGGUGCGCCUAGGGCGGACCCCAACCACUAGUACAUGAUCUAUCAGGAUGAAAUAAAAGAAAUCCUAGGCAACACAAGUGCACCAACUAUUGAGAUACUCAAUAUGCUGUUCUCAUACAAAAUGUACAGCUCCUGUUAUAGGCUAAGAAACAAAUUCCUCAGUCAUUCCACAGGCCAAGGGAAAAAAAAUCCUGAUUGAAUUUCAUCUCACUCUCUAGUUUCAGCAUUGAUUAAGUCUGUUCCUCGAUGGUCUAUGGAUCUAGAUGUAAUUUUUAUUAUUUUUAAAAUUUGUUGUACCAUCAUGAUUAAAGAUGAAUGGAUAAAAAAAUUUCAUUGAAAAAACACUAAAACUUUCGUAAUCAACGCGGGCGCAAUUUUUUCAGGUGCCUGACAAUUUACCAAACGCGAAAAAUCACACCCCCGCACGCCACGCACAUCCAAUCGCCGCCGCCACCUUGACCAACGGCCGCCGCAUCGCCGUCCACCGCCACGCAUCUGCCAUCCCCGGCUUCCCCUCCGCGGCUCCCUCAUCCGGCUUCGCCGACUCGUCGCGCAUCUUCGUCCUCCCCUCCGUGGCGUCCUUCGCCGGUCUACCCUCCCCGAUGCGGUCCGCACCUACGGACUCCCCUCCUCCUCCGUCAGCAGCUCCAGUCGCCACCCCCGCAGUGGAAUGAAUCACUCCCACGAGAUGGAGGGAGGCACGCCGUCGACCAUGGCAGCAGGGGCGGCCCAGAAGACUUCAAGUUACUUGUUCCUCUCCCCGAUGGAACACGCACAUGCGCGCGCACACACACACACACGAAGGAUGGGAAGGAGGAUAAACGGCGGCACAGAUGCAAAGGCCGGGGGUCAUCCUCCUUCUCUAAAAAAUGUGGUUGAUGGAUGUAUACAUACAUAUGCAGCACGGGAUCAAGGACAUGGAGUACAGCACAAGGGUGAAGGAUGAAGAAGGCUGCCCUGCCAUGGCACUCGUCAACAAGGCCACUGCAGAGGCUCUCAAGCACUCCUUCAGCUAAUCGGCCAAUACCACCUUUAAUACAUGUUGAUUUGGCUCUUGUCCCUUCGUGACAUACCUUUGUUUUGCGGAGGGUUGGCGGAUUUUGAGCCGGAUGUACCAUUCAUGACGCUGGUGAGCAUGGAUUGGGAAGAUGAAGAUGAUAGGUAGAAAAAGAAGAAGACAGAAAAGAGUUAUGAUUUUAAGGUAGAAAAAGUAGACAAUGCUUCUUGAUGUGCAUGAGGAUUCCAAACAUAAAUAUUUGAGACAAUUGGUAUUAAACCGGUGGAAUAUUUAUAUUCCCAUUGCAACUUAAGGGCAAUUAUACCUAUGUUAUUAUA
Molecule: non-coding RNA, 4604 nt
Organism: Triticum urartu
Lineage: Eukaryota; Viridiplantae; Streptophyta; Magnoliopsida; Poales; Poaceae
Source: RefSeq, a predicted model, not a curated record